UAAACUAGGAUUAGAUACCCUAUUAUUUAAAAUGUAAAUUUAUUAUGCUAAAUUAGUAUUAGUUACGUUCUUGAAAAUUAAAAAAUUUGGCGGUAUUUUAGUCUAUUCAGAGGAACCUGCCCUGUAAUUGAUAGUCCACGAUUAGAUAAACUUUAUUUAUUAGUUUGCAUAUCGUCGUAGUUAGAAUAUUUUAUUAGAAUAGUAAUAUUCAAGAUUUUUCAUUAAAAAGUAAAUCAGAUCAAGGUGUAGUUUAUAAUAAAGGAAGGUGGGUUACAAUAAAUUUAUUUUAGGAUAAUUUUUAUUAUAGAAAUUUGAAUAUGGAUUUGAAAGUAAUUUUAAUUUUUUUUUUAAAAUGAUUAUAGCUCUAAAAUAUGCACACAUCGCCCGUCGCUCUUAA
This 397-nucleotide ribosomal RNA is filed under the name Acanthoscelides puellus. RNAcentral's name for it is "partial 12S small subunit ribosomal RNA". Lineage: Eukaryota; Metazoa; Arthropoda; Insecta; Coleoptera; Chrysomelidae. The record is from RNAcentral.